This is a long non-coding RNA of Cyprinus carpio carpio, 905 nucleotides long. The record is from Ensembl. NCBI's taxonomy places the organism in Eukaryota, Metazoa, Chordata, Actinopteri, Cypriniformes, Cyprinidae.
GUUGUACUUUCUGUUGUUGUCUCAGUUGUGGUGCUUUCAGUUGUUAUUGAAAUUUCUGCUGUUGUACUUUCUAAAGUUGUGGUACCGGUGGUGGUGCUUUGUGUUGUUGUAGAUUCCAUUGUGGUGCUGUCUGUUGUUAUUGUUGUCUCUGCUGUUGUACUUUCUGGUGUUGUGGUACCGGAGGUUGUACUUUCUGUUGUUGUCUCAGCUGUGGUGCUUUCAGUUGUUGUUGAAGUUUCUGCUGUUGUACUUUCUAAAGUUGUGGUACCAAUGGUGGUGCUUUCUGUUGUUGUAGUAUCGAUUGUGGUGCUGUCUGUUGUUAUUGUUGUCUCUGCUGUUGUAGUUUCUGGUGUUGUGGCAACGGAGGUUGUACUUUCUAUUGUUGUCUCAGUUGUGGUGCUUUCAGUUGUUGUUGAAGUUUCUGCUGUUGUACUUGCUAAAGUUGUGGUAUCGGUGGUGGUGCUUUCUUUUGUUGUAGUAUCUAUUGUGGUGCUGUCUGUUGUCAUUGUCGUCUCUGCUGUUGUACUUUCUGGUGUUGUGGUACCAGAGGUUGUACUUUCUGUUGUUGUCUCAGCUGUGUUGCUUUCAGUUGUUGUUGAAGUUUCUGCUGUUGUACUUUCUAAAGUUGUGGUACCGAUGGUGGUGCUUUCUGUUGUUGUGGUCACUAUGGUAGUACUUUCUGUAGUUGUGGUGUCUUCUGUUGUUUUGAUCUCAGUUGUGGUGGCACUUUCUGUUGUAGUAUCUGUUGUGGUGCUUUCUGUUGUUGUUGGCUCAGUUGUUGUGAUUUCUGUUGUUGUGGUAGCUGUGGAGGUGCUUUCUGUUGUUGUUGUUGUUGUUGUAGUAGUGUCUGAUGUGGGGCUUUCUGUAGUUGUGGUAUCUUCUAUAGUUGUGGUUUCCAUUGUUGU